CACAGUUUGACAUCAAGAGGAAUGCAAACAGAUGCUUUAUUUUUAGCAUAGUUAUUCUCUCAGGUUGGUGCUAUCUUUCAUCUUGGCUCAAUGAGGUGGGCUUAAAUCUACCUUUCUUCAUGCAGACGCCUGUGUCAGUGCUUGCAGAAUCUCUGCCCUUGUUUGGAAGAAGAGUGCUUUCUGUGAGACUAGGACGUAGUGAAUUGAAGCUUAAGGCUUGUGAUGUACCUACAUCAUGUCUAUUUCAGAGCCUCAGAAAAGGGUGCUCCAGCUUUUUUUGGAAGAGGAUAGAUUCCGUAAGCAUGGCUGUGGACACAGCAUACAGGUAUUCUGCAUUUCUGCCUCUGUGGAGCCAAAAGAGCGUCAGAUUGCCACAUUGCAGUUCAGGGGCUGCUUUUUCGUGGCGUUCCCUCUGCAAGGUACUGCACAGAGUGAAUGUAUGUGGCAGAGGACCAGACUUGAUAUCCCAUGGACAUUUAUGCAUGAAGAUGAACUAUCUCCCAAGUGAUCUGAAAUCUUCACUGGAGCUAAGCUGUCGGCUAAAUGUUAUACCUCUGCACUUUUCGUUUCAGGUCUUGGAUAUUUUGAUCUCUUCCUCUGGACAGCGUUAAGGAUAAAAGAUGUUGAAUUCUGUGACAAGACUUGGCAUGUAUUACAAACCCAUUCCAUUUAAUCUUCAGGUAUUUACUUUGGAAGGCAGAUAGACAUCUCUAUUCUUUUGAAGUUUCCUAUAUUUUGAUAGUCCUGUCUGUCUCACUUCUGU
Molecule: long non-coding RNA, 763 nt
Filed under: Struthio camelus australis
Lineage: Eukaryota; Metazoa; Chordata; Aves; Struthioniformes; Struthionidae
Description: lncRNA (ENSSCUG00000013450.1)
Source: RNAcentral